ACCAGACCACCAUAUCUCAUAACCUCACUUUUCACAAACCCUACAUACCAUUUCCUAAAUCUGCUUCUUCGUUUUUCAGAGAUUCAUCGUCCUUAGAUGAGAUUCAUAAGGACGACAAUGUUUUGAUGCUUUCUUCAUCUUCAUGGUUUGCUUGUGGUCUUUCGUAUCCGUCAAAACCCUAAUCGACCGG
Molecule: long non-coding RNA, 190 nt
Organism: Helianthus annuus (common sunflower)
Lineage: Eukaryota; Viridiplantae; Streptophyta; Magnoliopsida; Asterales; Asteraceae
Exons: 3
Source: RefSeq, a predicted model, not a curated record